GCAGAUGGACAGAGCAUAGCUGUCCCGUGCAACGCAAGUUGCGCGGGAUAGAGGAAAGUCCGGACUGCAAGGGACGGCAUAGCGGCUAAUUACCGCGCGGGGCGACCCGACGAUUAGAGCAACAGAGACGAUUCCGCCAGAAAUGGCGGGGUGAAACGGGCAAUCUCUAUGUGCAGCAACUUCAAAUAGGUUCUCUACAUCUGGUCCCUGAUUGAGAACGGGUAGAAGGCUUGACGCUUUGUGGCGACACAUUGCGCAGAUUGAUUAUGCUCGCCAUGGUUUCAUGGAACAGAAUCCGGCUUAUCGUUUAUCUGCAAAA
RNAcentral lists this RNase P RNA (319 nucleotides) under Rickettsiales bacterium. RNAcentral's name for it is "RNase P RNA component class A". It matches the Rfam family "Bacterial RNase P class A". Rfam says of the family: Ribonuclease P (RNase P) is a ubiquitous endoribonuclease, found in archaea, bacteria and eukarya as well as chloroplasts and mitochondria. Lineage: Bacteria; Pseudomonadati; Pseudomonadota; Alphaproteobacteria; Rickettsiales. The record is from RNAcentral.